AAGAAGAGGUUGUAUCAUGUAUGCUUGUUUUGCUUUUAACAUGAUAGACCAGAGAAAUACAGUUUACUAUUCUUCAAAAUUAGUCAAGAGUAAUCCGGAUGUCCUAGACUGCAGCUGGAUUGCAAAAACUAAUUGAAUCAUCCACAAAAUGGAGCCAUAGAGUCAUACCCAACAUAAUUCAAGUUGUUCUUCUUGGCACAUUGAUUCGACAUCAAAUCGUUCAGUUCGUGGCUUGGCUUCGACAACAGAUCAAUGGUGUUGUAGAAAAUCCCUUUCGCCAAUUUCACAAACCCAAAAACAAUUGCAAUUCACUUUAUAAUUCUAUGUUGUUUCAUGCUAUACCUGUUGAAGUACUUUACAAGUAAGCACUUCAUAUGUAAAUUAGUUCAUUUUAAGCAUUUUGAAAUUUUUUCUUGAA
Corylus avellana is the source of this 418-nucleotide non-coding RNA. NCBI's taxonomy places the organism in Eukaryota, Viridiplantae, Streptophyta, Magnoliopsida, Fagales, Betulaceae. The record is from RefSeq and is a predicted model, not a curated record.